GAUGAAGAACGCAGCAAAAUGCGAUAAGUAAUGUGAAUUGCAGAAUUCAGUGAAUCAUCGAAUCUUUGAACGCACAUUGCGCCCGCCAGUAUUCUGGCGGGCAUGCCUGUUCGAGCGUCAUUUCAACCCUCAAGCUCAGCUUGGUGUUGGGACUCGCGGUAACCCGCGUUCCCCAAAUCGAUUGGCGGUCACGUCGAGCUUCCAUAGCGUAGUAAUCAUACACCUCGUUACUGGUAAUCGUCGCGGCCACGCCGUAAAACCCCAACUUCUGAAUGUUGACCUCGGAUCAGGUAGGAAUACCCGCUGAACUUAAGCAUAUCAAUAAGCGGCGGA
Molecule: unclassified non-coding RNA, 333 nt
Filed under: soil metagenome
Description: partial contains 5.8S ribosomal RNA, internal transcribed spacer 2, and large subunit ribosomal RNA
Rfam family: 5.8S ribosomal RNA (bases 1-120)
Source: RNAcentral